This is an RNA transcript of Acinonyx jubatus (cheetah), 6858 nucleotides long. It is a transcript of the gene named transport and Golgi organization protein 1 homolog, with no coding region annotated. The record is from RefSeq and is a predicted model, not a curated record. The transcript has 7 exons. NCBI's taxonomy places the organism in Eukaryota, Metazoa, Chordata, Mammalia, Carnivora, Felidae.
UCAGCUACUAAUUACCAGCAGCUCAUGAAACCUCUCUUCAUUUCUUUUGUUUCUAAUCUUAUUACAAGGUUAAAAGUCUAUGUUUAGACUCAACAUACUAAUAUAAACAAAACUUCAGAGGACAUAUGCAUAGAGUAUUAACAGAUAAAAAGGUAAGAUUUAGAAAGAACAAAACAAUUAACUUCAUCAACAUUUCCAGAUUUCAAGCAAUGGCCAGACUGUGUGGAAACUUCAUCCAUGCCAACGUUCCUGGGGGGUGGUGUCAAGUAUCAUAAUCUGUAGGAAAGCAGUGUGUCUUAGAAUGAAUCAUACCAUCAACAUGGUAGUGCCAUUUCAUGGCCCUGGUCUUUGCAACCCUAGGAAACGUGGUGAAGAUCUAAGUGAAAGGAGGGAAGAGCUUUAUGAUGAAAGACACUUGUCACAUGAUGAAUUAGGGCACAAUUGAAAGUGGGAAGGAAUUAUGUGAACUCUGAACCCUACGGUCAUGGAAUGAGUUAGGAAAGGAUGGAACAACAGUUUUGAUCCUAUUGUACAUUUUCAAUCAUGUGAAAAGUGUUUCAUGUGUAAAAUUGUAUUAGGGGACACAUAGGAGGAGGAUGAGAACAUGGGCAGAUUAUUGAAAAUCAUACCCAAUAUUGGGCCUUAUCUGACAAAAGCAACUAUAACUCACAGGCAACAAAAUGGACAAAGACAAGAACAGCUGCAGCAGGCAGAACUCACCUUCAGACACCAGAUCGCAGGUCAUGAGAAGAAUGCUCAGGACAACUGGAUCAAGCCUCAGAUCUGGGAGAGGGAAACGGCAGAGCAGAGCCAGGAGGUCGCCCGCUUGAAACACAGACUGGAUGGGAUGGAAGGAAAGAGGCUGCUUGAGGGAUACGGGAGGCGGAGACCAAUGCCUGGAAGUCCAGAGACACAGAACCCUCCGAGGAGAGGGUCCUUAGCAGAUCCAGAAACUGGUGCAACCUCUGUGAGUUACAGCAGCUCUGACUGUAUGAAGAAUGCAGACAAGGACAAGGUCCUGACAUCUUUUAAGAAGUGAGAUAGAACGGGCUGGACUAUAAAUAAAACUGCUGCUGGCAAGAAGAAAACAUGAGGGGUUGCUACCAUAAAAUCCCACCAUGAAAACUUGAAAAGAAAAAUGCCUCAGCUCACAGCACAGCUCAUGGCACACAGUGGAGAUUCAAAAGGUAUUCACUGAAUGAGUGACUGACAGAAUGAAGGAAGAUUUCAGAUUCCAUAAACUGUGUGUGCUGCAGUGCAAGUGGCAGGUCCCUAUUCCCACCAGCGUCUCCUGCUUGACUCUUCACUCUUCCCACAUGGGACUGUCUUCAGAGGAAUGCCUUUGGGAACUGCAGCCCCUUCCCUGGAAAGUCAAAGGACGUGGGUAUUUCUUCCCUCCACCCAAAGAAGCCAGUGACUGGUAAAAGUAUAGAAGCAGCAACUCUUCCUCCCGGUGGGAUAAGGUCUGAGGUACAAUUUCUGUUCCAUUGCUCCUUGCAUGGUCAUGCAGGUUAUGGGGCUGGACCUGAAAUCUCACCUUUGUUCCCUUUCCUCCACUCUACCCCGCUUCUUCAGCUCUGUCUAGAGGGAGAACAUGAUUCUUGGGGCAGGACUGCCUUUGGGAGAAUCCACUGUGGGACAAAUUGGCCAGUGAUCGUUUAUCAAGCACUUCCUGUACACAAAACACAAUUAUUGGGUAACACCAGGAAGUAGAUUGACUGGUGCUUCAUUCCCUUCAGCCCUCAUCUUUAGGGAUAGUACAGUUCUAAAAAUAUUCAACCCUCAAUGAUACCAUUUCAGCCAGCACUUUGUUAUUUUGGCAUUUUUAAAAUAAAAACUUACCACAACAGUGGGUAGCCCAUUUUAAAAAAAUAAAGGAUGCUAGAAAAUCAAUAGCUUUUACUCUAAAGUUGUAGAGAAGGUUCCAACUCCGGAUUUUCUGGGAUGAUUCUUCCAGGGGAACUUGCACCAGCUAUAAUCACAUGGUUUUCCCAGAUACCAAAAUAGAGGAGUUAUUUUGAAAGGUCAGUAAUGGAGUCUUGAUGUUGGCAGUCUUGAGGAAAUCAUUGAUUGCCCCAUUAAUAUUUUAACCUGCAUGAAAGAUAAGUAAAGGCUAAUCUUGUUUUAAAAAUACUCUACUAAAACCCAUCUAUCAAACAGGUCCACAUUUGAUUCCAUUAAUGCUAGUGAUAAAAAUCAUAGAUCAGGGUUUCUCAACUUUGGCAUUAUGGACAUUUUGGGCUAGAUAAUUCUUUGUUACGGGGGCUGUCUUAUACACUGUGGGAUAUUUAGGAGCGCCCCUAGCUUCUACCCACUAGAUUCCAGGAGCACAUCUCCAUCCCCACCCUGGCCAGUUGUGACAACCAAAACAUAUUUCCAGGCAUUGCCAAAUGUUCCCUAAAGACAAACUUGUCCCUGGAUAAGGACCACUGAUCAUAAGUGGUAAAUUCCAGAGGUUUGAGGUUCAGGGGCAGGAGAGUGGGUGUCAAAAGAGAACUCUCAUUUCUUUUCCUUUCCUUUAAGUGUAAUUGUGAAGAAUAAAAGAUGUCAUCUGGAUUCUGGAGAUUAUAAAUAGAACCCCCUAUAAAUGGGCACUGAAGUGAAUAGUUGAGGUCGGCUUUAAGACUGAUACAGAGCAUUUUUACACAGUGUCCUUCUUUAGAAAAGAGGUUCACAUAGUAAAGAAGAUUGUUUAAAAACGUGUGUCAUGAUUUGUCUUGAUGAUUAAAAGACUAUCUGGGAACUUGGUAGAUCAAAUCUAACUACUGAUUAAACAGAUUUCUCCCUAACACUUUUGGGUCAGCUUUUCUUUCCCGCUUGAAAAAAAGCAGGUCGCAAACAUCUGUUUUGAGUCCUUGGAAACUUGAAAAGAUUAAAAUCAAAAAUAAGAAGAAAAUAAACAAAGUUUCUGUUACCAUCUGUCUCCUAACGGUCUCUCACUUCAAAUUAUUGUGGUUGUAGAGAAGGGCAGACAUUUUAAGUCUUUUGAAUCCCUAAAGUAAGGCAAUAAGGAGGCCUUUGUGGAUAACUUUAAAGACAGUGAGGAUUACAGUAAAUCUUUUUUUUUCCUUUAAAUCCAAUUCAACGCAUGUAUUUCCAGUCUCUUGGUGAUGUAUCUGUUUGAAUGAAGCACAUUGUCAGCCAAACAGUCAAUGCUACAUCAAGCCUCCAUCAACUUAGAUAGACUCUGUUAGUGAAAAGUAUCCAAUCAAAAACUGAAUCCUUGGAUAUUUUGAAUACUUAUUAAAAGCAUUCUGUCAGAUGGAGGGAUGUUGUUUUAUGCAUUUUAUGCUUAGGUCCUUCUGGAAUCAAUUUGCUUAUCCCCUCAUCAAUACCCGAAGCCAAAGGUAUGACAUGUCUUACUUAUAAUAAAGCCACUGCAAAAUUCUUUCAUGUGUUCCUAUGGUUGAACAUUUUAUAUAUUAACACUUGAGUACUUUCCAGUAUUUGGCUUUUUGUAUUUUGGAGUUUACUUCACACGCUCUGUUAGGCACAGUUAAAUGGUUAAAUAUCUACUCUGCUGUGUUUCUACCAAAGAGAACUAAUGUUUGGCUUCUUUCUAAUGUAAUUCCUUAUCAGCUCCAUCUAGGAACUGGCAAAGUCAACAGCUAAGUGAGCUGCCUGGUGGUCCCAAUUUUAAAGUGGCUGGAUAAAGUUUCAUGGGUUUUAAAACCUAAAUUCUAGUCAUUAUUUUACAGUCUAGUAGGGGAGUCAGACAUUAGGCAACGAGUUACACCAGUAAAUGUAAAAUUACCAAUUUGUUUAAGGCAGCAUUUCUCAACCUCAGUAGUAUUGACAUUUGGGGCUGGAUAAUUCCUUGUUGUUGAGCGGCUGACCUGUGUAUUGUAGGAUGCAUAAUAGCAUCCCUGGCCUCUACACACCUGGAGAACCUCACACCCCCUCCCCUCCAAUUGUGACCCCCCCCCCCCACAAUGUCUCCAGACAUUGCCAUAUGUCCUCUGGGGGACACAACCAUCCCCAAAUGAGAAGCAAGAAGGUACCAAGAGGACCGAGAAGUUCAUGGUAUUAUCCAGAGUGUACAGCCAGUGAUGUAGCACAGCCUGGAUUUUCUGGAAAGACUUCUCUGAGGCUAUGAUGUCUGAGCUAAAAUCUCAAUGGUUAACAGGAGUUAACAAGGCAAAGUGGGGAAAGAAAGCAUUUAAUUCAUUUGUUCAUCCAAGAGAUACUUAGUCUUAAAAAAGUAAGACAAAGUUGGAGGAACCACACUACUUCGUGUUAAGAUUUACCAUAAAGCUGUAGCAAUCAAGACAGCAUGAUAUUGGCUAAGGGAUAUACACAUAGAUGCAUAGAACCACAUGGAGAGUCCAGAAAUACACAAAAAUGGCCUGUGGAGUUUUCACAAAGGACAAAGACAACUCAAGUGAGAAAUGCUAGCCUUUACGGUAAGUGUUAUUAGAACAGUUAGACAUUCAAAUGUUUUAAAAAAUUAACCUCUUGGGACACCUGGGUGGCUCAGUCGGUUAAGCAUCCGACUUCAGUUCAGGUCAUGAUCUCACGGUUUGCGAGUUCAAGCCCUGCGCCAGGCUCUGUGCUGACAGCUCAGAGCCUGGAGCCUGCUUCAGAUUCUGUGUCUCCCUCUCCCUCUGCCCCUCCCCUGCUCAUGCUCUGUCUGUCUGUCUGUCUCUCUCUCAAAAACAAAUAAACAUUAAAAAAAAUUAACCUCUUACCUAAACCUCACACUUUAUAAAAAAAAUUAACUCAACAUGAAAUGAAAAACUAUAAAACAUUUAAAAGAAAACAGAGUCAAAUUGGCAUGACCUGGUGUUGGAAAAAGAGAUCUUAAAGAUUACACUAAAAGCAUGAGAAGGAGGAGGAGGAGAAGGAGAAGAAGAAGAGGAAGAGGAAGAAGAGGAAGAAGAACUCCUUGAAUGCCGGCUCUAUGUCACUUCUGUUCUAGGUGCUGGCGAUACAGCAAUCAAUGAAUCAAAAUAACAGCCAUGCUUUUCGAGCUUCUCUUGUAGUAGGGAAGACAGUUAAUAACCAGGCAAAACAAGAGACAGGUGUAGAAGGCUAUUUCAUCUAGAGUGGGCAGGAAAAUACUCUCUGACUACGUGAUCUUUUUGCUGGUUCCUGGGUAAUGAGAAUAAGUCAGCCAAACAAAGACCUGGGGGAAAUGAAUUCUAGGCAGAGAUAGUAGCAGGUGCAUAGUGACCACAGGAGAGAGUCUGAGAAUGUCCGGUACCAAAUCUCCUUCCCACCCAUUUGAAAUCCUGACCGUGAGAUUAAGAAACUAAAACCCAGAGGUGUUUAAUGGCUGGCUAAGCAGUUGCUUACAUGAUGACCUAUUUCUGGAGUCCAUUUAGGUACAAAUAGACCAGAUCACCAUUGGCAGAGUAAAAAUCAAAGAUACAUUGUUGGCAGAACCUGCAUUACUCUAUUUUUCAGGACAAUCCAUCCAAGAUCACACUGUUUGAGUGGUCAAGAGAAGCCAUCAUUGGAUGUAUCCAUUCUGUGGCUAAGAGAAAGAGCUCUUAAUAUGGCAUUGGCUAUAAAUCUAGCCCCCUUUCCUGAAGACAAAAUUUACAAGAGAGAUAAACAGCCUCCAAUUCCUGUUAAUAGAGUCUACAAGAUUGCUUUAUAAUGAGGAAGGCAAUUGACAAGAUCAUUUAAAAAGAAGUGAUGUGGCAAAUGCACCCAGAGGCUAUGUUUUCUAAUAAAAAGGUUGCUUUCAAUGACAUACAAUAUUUAGCAGAGCACUUUCCUGUGUUUAUUUUUCCCAAAAUAGCAGCAGUUUCCAAAUGCUAGUUCCCUACCCCCAUCCUGAUAAUUCCCCAAGGAUUCAGAUUCUCCAGGGAUACUGUUGAAUUUUAGAGCUAUAACUAUCUAACUAUCCCAUUUUACAAAGAAAGGAACCGAGGCCCAGAAGAACUGAAUGAGUCGCCAAGGUCAUAAAAUAAUUUGUAACAUUGCCAAGAAUAUCCUUUUCUAAGUAUUCCAGUCCAUGUUUCUUGCCCUGCAUGAACUAACGCCUUUAUUUUGCAUAGAUUGCUCAUUAAACGAAGUGUGUUAUGAACUGAAAUCCACACUUCCCUUUGUCAUUGCCUAUCACACUAAACCAGGGGUAGAGUUUGCCCUUCAUGGGACAUCUGGCAAUCCCUGGAGACGCUCUGGUUAUCACAACCUGUGACGAAGAGUCUACUAGCUUCUAGUGGGUAGAGGCCAAGGAUGCUGCUAAACAUCCUAUAAUGCAUAGGAAAGCUUCCAUAGCACAGAAUUUUCUAACCAGAUUGACCAUAGUGACACAUUUGAGAAGUGUCGCCCUAGGCUUUGCAUACUGCCUUUCUUCAGUAAACUUUCAGGUCAGUGAGAUCGGGGCCUUUCCUCAUUUACUCUUGUCUCUGCUUCUGGCAAUCUGUCCGUGCUGCUGGCAGUCAAUGCAUUCUCAACACUUAAAUGUUAAAUUAAAUUAAAUUAAAUUUAAGACGCAGUGAAAGGCAGCAAUUCCUUCAAAAACUGCUGAGAGGCAGAGGAAUUGCAGAAACCAACGAUUACUUCCCAUAGUUAGGAAACAUUUAAAAAUGACAGUUCUUCAUCUUUUGGAGAGCACACAUCUCUCUGAGAAUCUCACAAGAGCCAUGGAUGCUUUCCUCAUAAAACUACCAUCCUUAACAAAAUUUCCAUACAACAGGACCAAUGGACUGACUCCCUGACAUACUACAGGGGUCAGAAGUUCUGGGUCUCGAAAAUAGUAUAGAAUAUUUUUUUACUUCUCCUCACCCUUUGGAUAGGAUAGUAAACCACUGGUUCAAUAAUGACUGUCAUUCUUUUUUUUUUUUUUAAUGUUUAUUUAUUUUUGAGAGAGAGAGAGGGAGACACAGAAUCCAAAGCAGGCUCCAG